This is a long non-coding RNA of Eriocheir sinensis (Chinese mitten crab), 1115 nucleotides long. RefSeq lists it as uncharacterized. Lineage: Eukaryota; Metazoa; Arthropoda; Malacostraca; Decapoda; Varunidae. The record is from RefSeq and is a predicted model, not a curated record. The transcript is spliced from 2 exons.
CUGUUAUAAUCCAUCACUAUAAUUUCCCUUUCCUCUUAUCCUAUUUUCUCUUAUUUUUCACUCCCUACUGUUAUGAUCCGUCAGUAUAAUUUCCCUUUCCUCUUAUCCUAUUUUCUCUUUUAUUUUUCACUCCCUACUGUUAUGAUCCGUCAGUAUACUUUCCCUUUCCUUUUAUCCUAUUUUGGCCCUCGAAAUAAAAACUAGAAAAGGAGGAGGAAGCCGAGGAGUGUGUCGACAAGCAUCGUACUGACGCGCUUAAUUAAAAGUUGACUUCAGGUAUUGAGUAAAAGUCACCCUUCUAUCCUUCCCUUAAGUCUAUAAACAUUGUCACUCAUAACUGCAGAGAUAAUGAAUUUUUUGGUGAUUUCCAGAUAUUUUUGGCUCAAUCAAUUAUUUGUCUGAUAUUUGUCACAGUUAUUUGUCCUUUGGUAUAUUUGCCUUUGUUGUUUUAGGGUGAGAGUGUUCCUUCCUUGUGUUCCUUCCAUCCCCUAAGUCUAUAACAUCCUCACCCUUGUAAACAAACAGCUGAGGAAGGUCACUUUUUGGUAUAGUUUGUGGUAUUUCAUUUCUUGGUAGAGUUGGCUUUGUUGUUCUAGGGUGGCUUUGUUGUUCUAGGGUGACAGUGUUCCUUCCAUCCCCUAAGUCUAUAACAUCCUCACCCUUGUAAACACUGCUGAGGAGGGUGACUUUUUGGUAUAGAUUGUGGUAUUUCAUUUCUUGGUAGAGGUGGCUUUGUUGUUCUAGGGUGGCUUUGUUGUUCUAGGGUGACAGUGUUCCUUCCAUCCCCUAAGUCUAUAACAUCCUCACCCUUGUAAACACUGCUGAGGAGGGUGACUUUUUUUAUAUAGUUUGUGGUAUUUCAUUUCUUGGUAGAGUUGGCUUUGUUGUUCUAGGGUGACAGUAUUCUAAAAUUCACCUCAAUUUCUGUCUAUAUUAUAAGUCAACUUAGGAAAUUAGUUCUUAUUCUGAAUUUGACUUGUAAGCGCGUUUGUACGACUGUUGUUUUACGUUUAGCAGUGCCACAUGACUUUUUUGCAUAUCACUCCAUGUUUCUCUUGUGUGUCACGCCCAUGUUUUCCUUUUUUUUGUAAACUGAUUAAAAAUGUGAGGAAGAA